Molecule: ribosomal RNA, 264 nt
Filed under: Triticum aestivum (bread wheat)
Lineage: Eukaryota; Viridiplantae; Streptophyta; Magnoliopsida; Poales; Poaceae
Description: partial small subunit ribosomal RNA
Source: RNAcentral
AUGUUCCCCCGUUUGUUUCCUGGGAUGUCAACCAUGCCGAAUACAACUGCGCUGGCAACUUCGCUGGAGGGCAUGACAACCCAUGGCGAACUCAUGUAUGUCGAUGCUCUUGAUCUGUCCACCGUUGACUUUACCGGGACUGGAGGCCCACCGCCUGCACAUAAAUUUGUUGUCUCUGCGUGGACGAACGCUGCUAUCAAGGCUGUGCUUGCCGCAAACAGGAUAACCGAUACGAAAGAUGGAAAACUGCAGCUGAUAGCCUAG